GUCGGUGUAGUAUAGUGGUUAGUACUUCUCGUUGUGGUUUCACAGGGUUUCACCCCCUUGUCACUUCGGCUCCGAGAGGACCCAUGUUCGAUUCAUGGCACCGACA
RNAcentral lists this transfer RNA (106 nucleotides) under Morchella conica CCBAS932. RNAcentral's name for it is "tRNA-His". It matches the Rfam family "tRNA". From Rfam's summary of the family: Transfer RNA (tRNA) molecules are approximately 80 nucleotides in length. Their secondary structure includes four short double-helical elements and three loops (D, anti-codon, and T loops). The record is from RNAcentral. Lineage: Eukaryota; Fungi; Ascomycota; Pezizomycetes; Pezizales; Morchellaceae.